GAUCAUGGCUCAGGAUGAACGCUAGCUACAGGCUUAACACAUGCAAGUCGAGGGGCAGCGAGAAGAAAGCUUGCUUCUUGUCGGCGACCGGCGCACGGGUGAGUAACGCGUAUCCAACCUUCCCCUUAGUAGAGGAUAGCCCGGCGAAAGUCGGAUUAAUACUCUAUGUUUUUCCGUUGAUGGCAUCUGAAAUGGAUCAAAGGUUUACCGCUAAGGGAUGGGGAUGCGUCUGAUUAGGUAGUCGGCGGGGUAACGGCCCACCGAGCCGACGAUCAGUAGGGGUUCUGAGAGGAAGGUCCCCCACAUUGGAACUGAGACACGGUCCAAACUCCUACGGGAGGCAGCAGUGAGGAAUAUUGGUCAAUGGGCGAGAGCCUGAACCAGCCAAGUAGCGUGCAGGAUGACGGCCCUAUGGGUUGUAAACUGCUUUUGCACGGGAAUAAAGUGCGGGACGCGUCCCGUUUUGUAUGUACCAUGAGAAUAAGGACCGGCUAAUUCCGUGCCAGCCGCGGC
Molecule: ribosomal RNA, 513 nt
Filed under: uncultured bacterium
Lineage: Bacteria
Description: bacterial SSU rRNA
Rfam family: Bacterial small subunit ribosomal RNA
Source: RNAcentral